This is a long non-coding RNA of Felis catus (domestic cat), 6045 nucleotides long. RefSeq lists it as uncharacterized. The record is from RefSeq and is a predicted model, not a curated record. Lineage: Eukaryota; Metazoa; Chordata; Mammalia; Carnivora; Felidae. The transcript is spliced from 2 exons.
ACCUAGCUCUUAAAAGGGGCUUGGUAAUCCCUCCCCUUCCCCUCUCUCCUGCAGCUCUUUCUAGCUCACCUUCUUCUUGGGGUGGGGGAGGGUGUGGCUGCCUAGUCUCUGCGCUUAGGAGUCAUCAGGAUAAAACAGGGCUGGGGGAGGACGCCUUCUCUCCUUGGCGUUAUUGAGAAAUUUUCUAAAAGAAACAUUUGCACCAAAGGCAACUCUGGGAAAACAAAGGGGAAAAGAACAAAGCAGCUAUAAAUCCCUAAAAUGAAAUGCAGAUUGUAGCUCCUACAGGAACCUCUGAUAACCAACAGCACCCCCCCCCUCCCCGCUGUUCCCAGGAACAAUGGGUCCAACUGGAGCUGCCUCGGGUCUCCAGCUGAAAAUUGAGGCCCUGUCUCUCCUGUUGGGGCUUCCUCUGCCUCCAGGCUGCGGGGCGGGGAGGUGGUAGGCUUGCAGGCAUAGAGAACACAGCCCCGUCCGCUUUGUAGUUCCUCUAUAGCUCCCCGCCCAACCCGCAUAAUCCUUGCCGGCACCCCCCGCCCCACCGGGGACCCUAAAAGGACAAUGACUACAACCCUGUCCUGGAGUUGCUGCACAAAGCCUAUCACAACUUUGGACCCUGGGGGACUCCCACUGGGGUGGGUGUUGGGCCACAGCAGGGGCAGGAGGCUGACUGUACUGCCUUUCUGCGUCUGGGCCCCGGGCGGACACCAAGUCCCUGCUGUGAAUCACUCUUCUGAUUAGCUGUCAGGACGCCCAGUAUAGAGCCUCGAGGACAACUGGAAGCUCAGAAAAGACAAGGCCCCAGGGGUGGUCUAGAAGCUCUGGUGAGCACCACCGAGGCGCAUCGACAGCAGAAAAUGGAGGGAAAUCCGAACAGGAGCGAGAUUAGGUUCAGAUGGCGGGGCAGAGCGAAGUGGGCGGCUCAAAAAACGUUGCGUCUAAGAGGGGCUGGCCUGCACCAGAGGACAAAACUUACAACCCGCGUGUAGACGUUCUAGGGGAGCAGACCUGCAUCAGAGUAAGGAAAAUCUUUUAAACAGCAACGCAGCGGCAAAGCGGGCUGGGGGUGUGCCCUGGAGUGGGGGUGGAGGGGUUGCAGCCACCCGGGUCAAGUCUCCGCUCUAUCAACAGGCGUAUGACCUUAGCAAGUUUCUGAACCUCUCUGUCCUCCUCUGCAAAGUGAAGGAAAUCCUGGUACUUCCCUCCUGGGGCUCCUGUCAGGGCUAGGAGUCCGUUUGUAAAGGGCCUAGAGCCUACGCAUGCGCACACUUACCUAAGCGCUAGGUAUUCACUAGGACUAGGUUGCGUUCCAGGCGGCGAGAUCUCUUUGCUGGAAGUGGUUGAACCUGGGCUGCAAGACGAGUUUCGGGGAUACUAGAGGUCCGCGGAGACAGAGCCAGACCACGUUGCAGAAAAGCGAGAUGGGCUCAGGUGGCAGAGGGCUCGGGUUCCUACCACUGUGACUGUGGGCAAAGCACAAAAUCGACAGGUCUGUUUUCACCUCUGUAAAUAAGGCUGAAGUCUCUGGCUCGACCCAUCGUCCUGAGGAUUAAAUAAUCCUGGGUACAGACAUCCACCUUAGUGUUUGCACUUUCUUCUUGUAUUUUAAAAAUCAUAAGACCGAUCACCUAUGUGCAGUCCCUGACACGUAAUGGGGGGCAGAGUAUGCAGGAUCACGACUCCCUUCCUCCCCAAAAGCCCUGGGGCUCCCCAGACACCAGAGCUGGUCUUCAGCAGCCUUCUGGCUGAUCUUCCUGUCCUUUUACAGCGAGUACCCUCUCCUUUCAGGCUGCUUGGUGUGACUCACCCUUCUUUGCAAUUAACUGUGAUGUUCUGCUGGCGGCUUCCGUUACGCGAGCAGAACAGCAGAUCUGGCCUAAGCAGGGUCUGGCGGGUGGGACGCUUCACUUGGUGAUUUACUGCCGCGGAGGCAGAAGCUAGGCCCCUGGGCAUGUUGCAGCUGGCCUGCCUCUCCCCCACUGCUUAGUUUUGUUCCCUGACCUGGGUCCCCUGGCACAUUCUGUUCUAAGGGCCAGGCCUGUGCCAUCACACAUGCUCUCAGGCACCUGGCUGGCCGGUAGGAGGCUGGCAAAGAAAGAAAUGCUAUUUCUUCUCUUUGAGUUUGUCUUCCAUUGGAUUCAGGAUGCUUUAAUUGAACAGCUACUCUGUGCCAGGCACUCUGGGGGAUCAGACGUGGAUGUGAAGCAGUACUCCUUCCCUAGAAGCUUCUAAUUCACCAGGAGGUGAAGGCAGAUCCAUGAAUAGUUUUGAGCCUCUGAUGGCACAGAGCAACUACUGUGGAAAUAAAUACGGAGAAGAGACUUUGCAACCGCAAGGGGCCUAGAGAGGCUUAUUACGGCUGCCGCUUGUUGGGCAUCUGAUGUGUGCAAGGUACUUCCCUUGUCUCAUUUAAGCUACUCGACUCUGUGAGGAAUGGGACUGUUGCCAUGCCUGUUUUACAGCUGGAGAAACUGAGGGGCCGAAACUUUCACCUAAAGGUGAAAUCACUUACCCCAAGUUACAUGGCCAGUAAGAGGCAGAACUAGGACAACAACCUAAGUUCAAAACACAUGUUUUUUUCCUGAGAGGCCAGGCUGCCUACCUCUUAGAGAAGGCCGAAUUUGACGUGGGCCUCAAAGAAGGUUGAUACUUUAUUCCUGGGGGUAGGGCGUUCCUUCUAGGCGAGUCCUGCUCAGAGACACAGCUAAUGUCCUCCCUCUUCUUCCCACAAGGGGCUGAGGAAGCCUCAUGGCUUGAAGGGCCCUUCGAGUUCUCUCCAGCCUCUGUGACUCGACCCCAAAUAAAUAACCACACUGUCAAUGCAAAUAGUACUGCCUGGCCGCUGGAACCAACAACCCAGAUUGAUGUGGCCCCCGCUGGGGGGUCCUGUUCAACUCUGUAACUGGCGCGCGCGCGCACACACACACACACACACACACACACACACACACGUCCUUUAUGUUCCCUUCAAGCAAGUUUGUUGCCCCAGUUACAGAAUUUUAGGCUGGAAGUGCUGGCAGAUAAGAACUUCCUACAGAUCCCAUACUGGGGUUCAGAAGGGGAAGGAACUGGCCUAGAGGCUUCAAGAAAGGACAGCUAGAGCCCUGUCUUCCUGCUCUCACUUGAAGAGGCAGAAUGAGGGUUCACCCAGCACGUCUCCCGUAGGGAUUUGUCUGGUAUUGUCGCAUGUCAUCCCCCAAAUGGCCCUGAUUAGGGCUCCUGCACCCCACUUUCAGAUGAGAAGUCUGACAACUCGAGGAAUCCUGGGACAUGCCCAAGGUCAAAUGAGAAAAAGCCAAGGAAGGGGCACAUACCUAGCUGUCUCCCAAAUCCCACCGCAGAGCAGAGGGAGGCGGGUGUUUUUUUCCUCCCCCCACCCAUUUUUGGGCUUGCAAAAUGGUGUAAACCCAGGAGGUCUAGAACCCAGUUCUCCAGAGGAAAGGGCUCCAGUAUUGGACCUUCCCAGGGGCGAGAUCUGAGCUGCCCGAAGUAACGACCAGGCCUGGGCAGGCACAAAAUGACACACAGAGGGUUGUGGAAACUGUACUUACAUCUCUUGCUUUGUUUCUGGAUGACUCAUGCAGCCCACAUAACAAAAUUAAUGUCUUCUCCAGCACCAGCAAAUUGUAUUUCUUCCUUUAAAAAAAAUCACAACCGGCCUGCAAAUGGCCCUGGCUUAUUCUGGAGACAUAGAGCCAUCCUGUGGCCACUUCCCUGGACGGGCCGGCAGCGGCAGUCAGGACCCCCGCAAUGGGGGGGGGGGGAGCCUGAGGCCAUGUCAAGUCCUGCACUCUGCUUCUGUCCAGACCUUCUGGUCUGGUCGGUGACAUUCUGUCAUACCCGUGUCUCCUCUGAACUGAUGUUUCACGUAAGAGCAAGUGCUCUGGAAGCCCCCCAUCCCGAGUCCUCUCACACGGUGCCCUCCGUCGGGAGCCAAUUUACUCACCUCUCAGGCUUUGGCUCAAGGACCUUCCCCCACCUUCAGCUCUGUGAGCUUUCUCUGCCUCCUUCUGACCCCAGAUAGCAUUGCCCCUUCCUCACUGUAUAACCUCACCAGCUCCCUAUGCAAGUCUCUUAAUAUAACAGCUAACAUUUAUAUAGUACUUCCUCUGAACCAUCACUCUAAGACCUAUAUGUGUGUGUAUAUAUGUGUGCAUAUAUACGUAGUAUGUAUAGGGGUGUGUAUGCAUAUAACACAGAUAUGAAAUAGGCGUCAUUAUUCUCCCCAUUAUAUAGAUGGGGAAACAGAGCGCGGGGGUAUCUAGUUUGCUCACCAUCACUCAGCUAGUUAAGCGGCAGAGCCAGAAUCUGGGUUUCUUCAGUCAGGCUCUAGAUCCCUCUUCUUAACCUGUACCGCAUGGCCUCUAGCACCAGUCACCCCUGGUUUUACUUGCCGAUUUCCGCCCACCCAUCCCCCCUACCCCAUCCAUUCUGUGGUCUACUUGAGGAGAAGGCUUGCAUCUUCUUCCUCCGGUGUCCCUGUGCAGGGCAUAGCAGCUGGACCACAACAGGGCCCCACGCUGCUGACUGGAAGAAUGUGUUGUGUCUGAUGCCCUGGGCCACCAGCCCCUUCCCAUGGCUGCGCGCGUCUUUAUGCCUUAUUUCUUCAGUUCCCUCGGGACACAUCCCUGGCUCUGUUCUCUGUGCCGAGGAUAUUGGUCCUGCUUCCUGUCCCAGUCCUGCCUCUCUGAGGCUUCGUGCUUCAUCCUGUGGAUGGCCAGGAGGUGUGGGGGAAUACAGACAAGCAUGUAUCCCCACCCCCUAGUUUCGAUUUUUCUUUGCCUUACAAAAGCACUUUGUAUAUAUACAUGCAUUCGACAAUAAAUUUUGGACAUCAGCCUCAAAUCGGCCACUGUUCUGGGUGCUGAGAACAUAGUGACAAGAAGCAGACACUAUCAUCAUGGCAGUAAGGUUCUAGGCCGGGACACAGGCGGGAAACAAAGAGCAACGGAGUGUGGGAUGCAGCAUCAAGGGAUGACCAGGGCUGCAAAGGGGAACAGAGUAGGGAAGGGCAGACAGAGAGCGAGAGACGGGGUGGUCCGGGAGGGUUUCUCUGAAAAUAGGAUAUUGGAGCAGAGACCCGAUGAAGUGAGGGAGACCGGCUGGUGCCUGCAGGAAGACGCUCCAGGCAGAGGGGCCAGCAGGUGCCACGCGCUGUGGUGGCUCGUGCGUGAGGAGCAGAGGGAACGAGGGCGACCGUGGCAGCAGGUCCUAUAGAGCCUCUUGGGCCAUGAGGAGGAUUGGAGGCGUGUCUUAGCACCACUUUGACAAAAUACUGCAGGCUGGGCCGCUUGUAAACAACAGAAACGUAUUUCUCGCUGUUCUGGAGGCUGGCUGGCUGAGACCAGGGUGCGGACAUGGUCCGCAGCUUGAGGCAGGAGGCCACGAGAUGACCGAGACCCAGAGUACCAGGGAAACCCCAGAGCUCACGGCAUUGACUAGGGAAGUUGAACGUGCCAAAUCAGUCUUGGCAAAGCUUUCCAAACCAGAAGGAAGGAAGACUCUGGAGACAGUUUCAAAAAACGGAACCCAAAGAGAGCUGGAAGUGCCAGAGGUGGCCGUCGUUCCUUGCUCACUGACAAGGGACAAACGUUUGAGGAUCGGAGUCUUCUGUGCGCGGAGCCCACUUCCCCAGCAGCCUGGAAGGCUCCUGCCGGUCCCGGUUCAGGAGGGUGGUCCAGGGUGUCCACCUUGGGCCCAGCCGAGAUGGCUCUUAUGCAUACUUAGUUCACUGGACAAUGCCAACCAGGUCUUACAACUGUUGUGGAUCCUCAGAACCAGAAAGCCAUCAAAGUCCUCUUGUGGGCGGGGAAUAAAUCCUGUAGGUCACCACCCACCCCUCUGAACCCUUUGAAACCACACUCCCAGACCUCCCUCCAUCAUCUUUGUUCCCCUCCCAUCAGACAACCCUCCCGUCAUUCCUAGCCAUAUUAUGCCAAACAAUUUUAAAUGUCUUAUUCAAAUUGCAGCUGUCACACUGUGCAGAUGACAAAGUCUCAACUCUGUUCUAGGACAGGAUUCUAAUAAAUCUGCCCUUAUCCUCUA